AUGCAAGUCGGACGGUAGCACAGAGGAGCUUGCUCCUCGGGUGACGAGUGGCGGACGGGUGAGUAAUGUCUGGGGAUCUGCCCGAUAGAGGGGGAUAACCACUGGAAACGGGGGCUAAUACCGCAUAACGUCGCAAGACCAAAGAGGGGGACCUUCGGGCCUCUCACUAUCGGAUGAACCCAGAUGGGAUUAGCUAGUAGGCGGGGUAACGGCCCACCUAGGCGACGAUCCCUAGCUGGUCUGAGAGGAUGACCAGCCACACUGGAACUGAGACACGGUCCAGACUCCUACGGGAGGCAGCAGUGGGGAAUAUUGCACAAUGGGCGCAAGCCUGAUGCACCCAUGCCGCGUGUAUGAAGAAGGCCUUCGGGUUGUAAAGUACUUUCAGCGGGGAGGAAGGCGAUGUGGUUAAUAACCGCGUCGAUUGACGUUACCCGCAAAAGAAGCACCGGCUAACUCCGUGCCAGCAGCCGCGGUAAUACAGAGGGUGCAAGCGUUAAUCAGAAUUACUGGGCGUAAAGCGCACGCAGGCGGUCUGUUAAGUCAGAUGUGAAAUCCCCGGGCUUAACCUGGGAACUGCAUUUGAAACUGGCAGGCUUGAGUCUCGUAGAGGGGGGUAGAAUUCCAGGUGUAGCGGUGAAAUGCGUAGAGAUCUGGAGGAAUACCGGUGGCGAAGGCGGCCCCCUGGACGAAGACUGACGCUCAGGUGCGAAAGCGUGGGGAGCAAACAGGAUUAGAUACCCUGGUAGUCCACGCCGUAAACGAUGUCGACUUGGAGGUUGUUCCCUUGAGGAGUGGCUUCCGGAGCUAACGCGUUAAGUCGACCGCCUGGGGAGUACGGCCGCAAGGUUAAAACUCAAAUGAAUUGACGGGGGCCCGCAUAAGCGGUGGAGCAUGUGGUUUAAUUCGAUGCAACGCGAAGAACCUUACCUACUCUUGACAUCCAGAGAAUUUAGCAGAGAUGCUUUGGUGCCUUCGGGAACCGUGAGACAGGUGCUGCAUGGCUGUCGUCAGCUCGUGUUGUGAAAUGUUGGGUUAAGUCCCGCAACGAGCGCAACCCUUAUCCUUUGUUGCCAGCGAUUCGGUCGGGAACUCAAAGGAGACUGCCGGUGAUAAACCGGAGGAAGGUGGGGAUGACGUCAAGUCAUCAUGGCCCUUACGAGUAGGGCUACACACGUGCUACAAUGGCGCAUACAAAGAGAAGCGACCUCGCGAGAGCAAGCGGACCUCAUAAAGUGCGUCGUAGUCCGGAUCGGAGUCUGCAACUCGACUCCGUGAAGUCGGAAUCGCUAGUAAUCGUGGAUCAGAAUGCCACGGUGAAUACGUUCCCGGGCCUUGUACACACCGCCCGUCACACCAUGGGAGUGGGUUGCAAAAGAAGUAGGUAGCUUAACCUUCGGGAGGGCGCUUG
RNAcentral lists this ribosomal RNA (1411 nucleotides) under Pantoea sp. JXRH2. RNAcentral's name for it is "bacterial SSU rRNA". It matches the Rfam family "Bacterial small subunit ribosomal RNA". The record is from RNAcentral. Lineage: Bacteria; Pseudomonadati; Pseudomonadota; Gammaproteobacteria; Enterobacterales; Erwiniaceae. RNAcentral also lists the same sequence under 1 other name.